Carassius carassius (crucian carp) is the source of this 670-nucleotide long non-coding RNA. RefSeq lists it as uncharacterized. The record is from RefSeq and is a predicted model, not a curated record. Lineage: Eukaryota; Metazoa; Chordata; Actinopteri; Cypriniformes; Cyprinidae. The transcript is spliced from 5 exons.
CGUGCGUGCUACACAUUGUGCCUGGAGAGAUUGAUGUUUUGUCAUCCACCUGCUUCUAUGCUGUAAAAGCAAGCGCAGCAAAGGCAAACCUACCCAGCUUCAAAAUCCAAACAAAGAAAUCUUAGUGGGCUGUUUACAUAUCUGUGGAAGGAUAUCUGGGCUUGUGUUGACGGGGUGCUAGAGUGGCUGAGAGAUCAGUCCCCGCACAAUGGACGAGUGGGAAAUCAAAGACUGGGAUGCGGGGAGGACACUGGGGAAACUGACAGAGGGGUGAGCUCUGGAAAGGAGGACGGAUACUUCCUGUUCCUGCUGGAGUGACCCGCAGGUCUGAGGAGGAGUGAGUGAGAGGAAGGCAGAGAAAGCGAGGUACUUUUACAGUGAUUUGCUGCCAGCUUUACCCUUGGCCAGAGUGCAGUAGUGAAACCGGAAGUGACAGUGCCAGAUCACAGGUGUUUGUCCACAUUUCUUCUUCAUAAAUGUCCAUAUGACCAAGCUGGGGUACUUGGAACACACAGGGCAGUGGACACAAGCAUUUGGACAGCUCCCAACAUGUUUGUCAUCAAAUGAGCCAUUAUCACAGUACAGAAGCUCUAGUGGUGUUGGUUGUGUUUUGGAAGACCUGAGGGACACAGCGGCCACCAUGCACAUCUGCAUCCUGUAUGUGGCUGAG